UACGGAGGAUGCAAGCGUUAUCCGGAAUGAUUGGGCGUAAAGGGUCCGCAGGUGGCAGUGUAAGUCUGCUGUCAAAGAAUGAGGCUUAACCUCAUCAAGGCAGUGGAAACUACACAGCUAGAGUACGGUCGGGGUAGAAGGAAUUCCUGGUGUAGCGGUGAAAUGCGUAGAGAUCGGGAAGAACACCGGUGGCGAAAGCGUUCUGCUAGACCUGUACUGACACUGAGGGACGAAAGCUAGGGGAGCGAAUGGG
Molecule: ribosomal RNA, 253 nt
Filed under: uncultured bacterium
Lineage: Bacteria
Description: partial 16S ribosomal RNA
Rfam family: Bacterial small subunit ribosomal RNA
Source: RNAcentral